Molecule: non-coding RNA, 315 nt
Organism: Nomia melanderi (Alkali bee)
Lineage: Eukaryota; Metazoa; Arthropoda; Insecta; Hymenoptera; Halictidae
Source: RefSeq, a predicted model, not a curated record
GCGCAUGCGUUGGAAGCUUCGGUUCCCGCAGGCGCCACCUUGUGAGACAGUUCUGUCGUAGAAGUUAUCUCGAGUAGUUCCUCGGUGGUUGUGUUCGUCCGGUUUUCCUGUGAUUUAUUCCGAUCUCGAGGGAUCCCUUUCGGUUACUACAACUCCGCCAAAAAGAAGCGAUGUCGAUGACUGGGUACUAAAUCAAUUUCGAGCUGACUGGAGAAGAAUCUAGUCGCGCUCAUUCGACUUACUGUUGAGUAUCAGCCAGCAAACACAAGCGAGGAUCAUGAAAAUGGUGCUGUCUCAACGUCAGAGGGAGGAGUU